GGGAGAGAACAAAGUGACAUACUUAAACCCUGAAGCAGAUCGUGCCUGAGGCUACCUUUGCCCAUAAACAAUUCCAGAGACAAGAUCUCCCUCUGGAACCCGGGCUGGAAUACAGUGGCACACUCAUACCUCACUGCAGCCUUGAACUCCUGGGCUCAAGCGAUUCUCCCACCUCAGCUUCCUGAACAGCUGGGAAUACAGGCGCACCUCACCACACCCAGCUUCAGUCAGCCUGUUCUUGAUGCCUGGAGUCCCUUAUUAGAGAACUUCUCUGGUUUCCUAAAUAUUGUUCCUUAUUUAAAAUGCAACUUAGCACCUCCAGAAGUGUCUGUAGUGCUCUCUUGUCCCCAUAAAUGAGUUAGUUGUGUUCCAAGAUGCAUUCUACCAUGGGCUGAGUGUCCUGGGUUUCUCAAGACGUAUAUUUCAAUGUUAGGGCAUAUGUACACAGGCAGUUUUGGU
RNAcentral lists this long non-coding RNA (459 nucleotides) under Homo sapiens (human). Its description in RNAcentral is "non-protein coding lnc-HIVEP1-3:1". The record is from RNAcentral. Lineage: Eukaryota; Metazoa; Chordata; Mammalia; Primates; Hominidae.